RNAcentral lists this unclassified non-coding RNA (207 nucleotides) under soil metagenome. RNAcentral describes it as "partial contains 5.8S ribosomal RNA, internal transcribed spacer 2, and large subunit ribosomal RNA". The record is from RNAcentral.
AACCAUAGAAACCUGCGGAGUACCUGCGGAGGGAUCAUUACCGAGUUUACAACUCCCAAACCCCUGUGAACAUACCAAUUGUUGCCUCGGCGGAUCAGCCCGCUCCCGGUAAAACGGGACGGCCCGCCGGAGGACCCCUAAACUCUGUUUCUAUAUGUAACUUCUGAGUAAAACCAUAAAUAAAUCAAAACUUUCAACAAUGGAUCU